UCCAGUGAUAAUGGCGGAGGGGUCACACCUGUUCCCAUACCGAACACAGAAGUAAAGUCCUCCAGCGCUGAUGGUACUUGGUGGGUAACUGCCUGGGAGAGUAGGUCGUCGCUGGAU
This 117-nucleotide ribosomal RNA is filed under the name Bacillota bacterium. Lineage: Bacteria; Bacillati; Bacillota. The record is from RNAcentral.